GGCUCCAUAGCUCAGUUGGUUAGAGCGUAGCACUGUUAUUCUCUCGCCACACACUGCAGCCGCCUCCGCCCGCCGCGCAAGGCUGCCCAAUCCGGCAGCUGGUGGGCAGCAAGGCGCCUACGGAGAGAUGCUGAGGUCGGCGGUUCGAGCCCGCCUGGGGUCG
This 163-nucleotide transfer RNA is filed under the name Moesziomyces antarcticus. RNAcentral describes it as "Pseudozyma antarctica tRNA". It matches the Rfam family "tRNA". From Rfam's summary of the family: Transfer RNA (tRNA) molecules are approximately 80 nucleotides in length. Their secondary structure includes four short double-helical elements and three loops (D, anti-codon, and T loops). Lineage: Eukaryota; Fungi; Basidiomycota; Ustilaginomycetes; Ustilaginales; Ustilaginaceae. The record is from Rfam by way of RNAcentral.